CCUACGGGGGGCUGCAGUGGGGAAUAUUGGACAAUGGGGGCAACCCUGAUCCAGCCAUGCCGCGUGUGUGAAGAAGGCCCUCGGGUUGUAAAGCACUUUCAGUGAGGAAGAACGCCUGGUGGUUAAUACCCAUCAGGAAAGACAUCACUCACAGAAGAAGCACCGGCUAACUCCGUGCCAGCAGCCGCGGUAAUACGGAGGGUGCGAGCGUUAAUCGGAAUUACUGGGCGUAAAGCGCGCGUAGGUGGCUUGAUAAGCCGGUUGUGAAAGCCCCGGACUCAACCUGGGAACGGCAUCCGGAACUGUCAAGCUAGAGUGCAGGAGAGGAAGGUAGAAUUCCCGGUGUAGCGGUGAAAUGCGUAGAGAUCGGGAGGAAUACCAGUGGCGAAGGCGGCCUUCUGGACUGACACUGACACUGAGGUGCGAAAGCGUGGGUAGCAAACAGGAUUAGAUACCCGAGUAGUC
RNAcentral lists this ribosomal RNA (465 nucleotides) under Vreelandella stevensii. Its description in RNAcentral is "partial 16S ribosomal RNA". It matches the Rfam family "Bacterial small subunit ribosomal RNA", at positions 338 to 795 of the family's 1533-position model. Lineage: Bacteria; Pseudomonadati; Pseudomonadota; Gammaproteobacteria; Oceanospirillales; Halomonadaceae. The record is from RNAcentral.